Molecule: ribosomal RNA, 253 nt
Filed under: uncultured bacterium
Lineage: Bacteria
Description: partial 16S ribosomal RNA
Rfam family: Bacterial small subunit ribosomal RNA
Source: RNAcentral
UACGAAGGGUGCUAGCGUUGUUCGGAAUUACUGGGCGUAAAGCGUGCGCAGGCGGCUAUUCAAGUCAGGGGUGAAAUCCUGGGGCUUAACCCCAGAACUGCCUUUGAAACUGUAUAGCUAGAGACUCGGAGGGGUUGGCGGAAUUCCUAAUGUAGCGGUGAAAUGCGUAGAUAUUCGGCGGAACACCAGUGGCGAAGGCGACUCACUGGCCCGAUACUGACGCUGAGGCGCGAAAGCGUGGGGAGCAAACAGG